Molecule: long non-coding RNA, 685 nt
Filed under: Homo sapiens (human)
Lineage: Eukaryota; Metazoa; Chordata; Mammalia; Primates; Hominidae
Description: HSALNT0346628
Source: RNAcentral
ACUUUCACUUAUCAGACCUUGCUGCGAUAAGCAAACCCCAAUUACAAACCACUCAGACCGCAUAGGGGAAGGUUGUGGGAAGCAUAAACAAACUUUACCUACACCCUCCUGUAAUAAACGUCACAAGGUGAUAUGUGGCAAAAUUAACCAGCAAACAACCCCAGGAUGCGGCCAUACCAAAGAACUCCCUCAAGCUACUUUCCCCAAUAUAAACCCCUCAUUCUGUAAGCUUGGUGCUGCUUCCCUUGACUGUUAAGGGGUCAGCCGGCAGGUUAAUAAAAACUUGCUCGCCUGACUUUGGGUCUAUUUUUCCUUUCUCUUGGCUGACCUUACAUUCUGGUGCCGAAACCGGGAAGGGGAUAGACUCUGGCCGGCUCUCGCUCUCUGUCUCUCUCUCUCUCACUCUCUCUUUCUCUCUCUCUCUCCCCCUCCCUCCCCUAUCACCUAUCUCCUGGCCAGUCUCUCCCCUUCCCUGAACCUGCCGAAGUCCCAGAGAAUCUCCUAGACUCUCCCACUGCUGACGACUUCAUCCACCAUCAAAGCCUCCGCCAGGCUCCUCGGCCUAGCCACUGAAGACUGACAAGGCCCAGGGCCCCUGGCCCCCACUGCCAUCACUGCAUGGAGCCCAGUGUAACUCUACUGGUAGCAGAAGGAGUCUUGCUCUGUCGCCCAGGCUGGAGUGCGG